GACAGAGGGUGCAAACGUUGCUCGGAAUCACUGGGCGUAAAGGGCGUGUAGGCGGACUUGUAAGUCGGGCGUGAAAUCCCUGGGCUCAACCCAGGAACUGCGCUCGAAACUGCGAGUCUUGAGUACCGGAGAGGAAGGUGGAAUUCCUGGUGUAGAGGUGAAAUUCGUAGAUAUCAGGAGGAACACCAGUGGCGAAGGCGGCCUUCUGGACGGUAACUGACGCUGAGACGCGAAAGCGUGGGGAGCAAACAGGAUUAGAUACCCUGGUAGUCCACGCUGUAAACGAUGAACACUAGGUGUCGUGGGUAUUGACCCCUGCGGUGCCGUAGCUAACGCAUUAAGUGUUCCGCCUGGGAAGUACGGUCGCAAGACUAAA
This 376-nucleotide ribosomal RNA is filed under the name uncultured bacterium. RNAcentral describes it as "bacterial SSU rRNA". It matches the Rfam family "Bacterial small subunit ribosomal RNA", at positions 524 to 898 of the family's 1533-position model. The record is from RNAcentral.